This is an RNA transcript of Nomascus leucogenys (northern white-cheeked gibbon), 394 nucleotides long. It is a transcript of the gene named translation machinery-associated protein 7 pseudogene, with no coding region annotated. NCBI's taxonomy places the organism in Eukaryota, Metazoa, Chordata, Mammalia, Primates, Hylobatidae. The record is from RefSeq and is a predicted model, not a curated record.
GUGGCAGGGUCUGGAGAAGGGACGGCAGGCGCCAUGUCCAGCCGCGAAGGUGGCAAGAAGAAGCCACUGAAACAGCACAAGAAGCAGGCCAAGGAGAUGGACGAGGAAGAUAAGGCUUUCAAGCAGAAACAAAAAGAGGAGCAGAAGAAACUCGAGGAGCUAAAAGCGAAGGCCGCGGGGAAGGGGCCCUUAGCCACAGGUGGAAUUAAGAAAUCUGGCAAAAAGUAACCUGUUCCUUGUGCCUGAGGAGAUGGCGACCCUUUAUUUCAUCCGUAUUUAAACCUUUCUAUUCCCUGCCAUAACAUCUUUUGCCACAUAUAGCUUGAAUUAAGUGUUGUCUUGGAGCUGUUGUACAUUUAAGAAUAAACUUUUGUAAAAAAAAAAAAAAAAAAAA